UGGGGAAUAUUGCGCAAUGGGCGAAAGCCUGACGCAGCGACGCCGCGUGGGGGAUGACGGCCUUCGGGUUGUAAACCUCUUUCGCCAUCGACGAAGCCUUCGGGUGACGGUAGGUGGAGAAGAAGCACCGGCCAACUACGUGCCAGCAGCCGCGGUAAUACGUAGGGUGCGAGCGUUGUCCGGAAUUAUUGGGCGUAAAGAGCUCGUAGGCGGUGUGUCACGUCGAUCGUGAAAACUUGGGGCUUAACUCUGAGCUUGCGGUCGAUACGGGCAUCACUGGAGUUCGGCAGGGGAGACUGGAAUUCCUGGUGUAGCGGUGAAAUGCGCAGAUAUCAGGAGGAACACCGGUGGCGAAGGCGGGUCUCUGGGCCGAUACUGACGCUGAGGAGCGAAAGCGUGGGGAGCGAACA
Molecule: ribosomal RNA, 410 nt
Filed under: uncultured Pseudonocardia sp.
Lineage: Bacteria; Bacillati; Actinomycetota; Actinomycetes; Pseudonocardiales; Pseudonocardiaceae
Description: bacterial SSU rRNA
Rfam family: Bacterial small subunit ribosomal RNA
Source: RNAcentral